This 953-nucleotide unclassified non-coding RNA is filed under the name Hevea brasiliensis (rubber tree). Lineage: Eukaryota; Viridiplantae; Streptophyta; Magnoliopsida; Malpighiales; Euphorbiaceae. The record is from RNAcentral.
AAUUAUUAUCCUAUCAAUCUUGGACUUUUCCUAAAGGACAACAACAACGAGUUCUCAGUUUUGGUUGAUAGAUCUGUAGGUGGAUCCAGCCUUGUUGAUGGCCAAUUGGAGCUAAUGCUUCACCGGAGGUUACUCAAUGAUGAUGGAAGAGGUGUUGCUGAAGCACUGAAUGAAACCGUCUGUGCUCUUGGAAAAUGCAUGGGCUUGACUGUCCAAGGCAAGUACUAUAUCCGGAUUGAUUCUCUUGGAGAGGGAGCGAAGUGGCGGCGGUCAUUUGGACAGGAGAUAUAUUCUCCAUUGCUUCUAGCUUUUACUGAGCAGGAUGGAGAUAAAUUUACAAAAUUUCCAGUUCCAACCUUUACAGGGAUGGAUCCAUCUUACAGUCUGCCUGAUAAUGUUGCAAUAAUUACGCUUCAGGAGCUUGAAGAUCACACCGUCCUCCUGAGAUUGGCUCAUUUAUACGAGGUUGAUGAGGAUAAGGAUCUAUCCACCAAGGCAAGUGUAGAAUUGAAAAGAUUGUUCCCAAAGAGGAAGAUAAACAAGAUUAGAGAGAUGAGUUUAUCUGCCAACCAAGAAAGAGUAGAAAUGGAGAAGAAGAGAUUAAAGUGGAAAGCAGAGGCUCCUAGUGAUUUGCGAGACGUGGCAAGAGGGGGACCUGUUGAUCCUACAAAGCUGAUGGUAGAGCUCGCCCCAAUGGAAAUUCGCACCUUUGUUAUUGAUCUCAGCCAGAGCGUGCCAGAAGGUUGGAAGUCACAUAUGUCUCUAUGAUAGCAGUCUCCUGCAGCAGUCCAAUCCAAUCCGAAUCGUCAAGACGUCAAAAGGGUAUAUGAGCAGCUUGAAACCUUCUUGGGACCUAUUUGCCUGUGUUGAUAUCACCUUGAGGAGGCAGCAUUGAGUCUCUUGUUAGAAGAUGUGUUAUCCUUUUUGUAAUGGAAUGAAAACCUCUUUGACAG